Molecule: ribosomal RNA, 245 nt
Filed under: uncultured prokaryote
Description: partial 16S ribosomal RNA
Rfam family: Bacterial small subunit ribosomal RNA
Source: RNAcentral
UACGGAGGAUGCAAGCGUUAUCCGGAUUCAUUGGGUUUAAAGGGUGCGUAGGCUGGCUAUUAAGUCAGUGGUGAAAUCCUGCAGCUUAACUGCAGAACUGCCGUUGAUACUGAUAGUCUUGAGUUUGGUUAAGGUAGGCUGAAUGUGUAAUGUAGCGGUGAAAUGCUUAGAUAUUACACAGAACACCAAUUGCGCAGGCAGCUUACUGAGCCGACACUGACUCUGAGGCACGAAAGCGUGGGGAU